RNAcentral lists this ribosomal RNA (861 nucleotides) under Escherichia coli. RNAcentral's name for it is "partial 23S ribosomal RNA". It matches the Rfam family "Bacterial large subunit ribosomal RNA", at positions 1 to 905 of the family's 2925-position model. The record is from RNAcentral. Lineage: Bacteria; Pseudomonadati; Pseudomonadota; Gammaproteobacteria; Enterobacterales; Enterobacteriaceae.
GGUUAAGCGACUAAGCGUACACGGUGGAUGCCCUGGCAGUCAGAGGCGAUGAAGGACGUGCUAAUCUGCGAUAAGCGUCGGUGAGGUGAUAUGAACCGUUAUAACCGGCGAUUUCCGAAUGGGGAAACCCAGUGUGUUUCGACACACUAUCAUUAACUGAAUCCAUAGGUUAAUGAGGCGAACCGGGGGAACUGAAACAUCUAAGUACCCCGAGGAAAAGAAAUCAACCGAGAUUCCCCCAGUAGCGGCGAGCGAACGGGGAGGAGCCCAGAGCCUGAAUCAGUGUGUGUGUUAGUGGAAGCGUCUGGAAAGGCGUGCGAUACAGGGUGACAGCCCCGUACACAAAAAUGCACAUAUUGUGAGCUCGAUGAGUAGGGCGGGACACGUGGUAUCCUGUCUGAAUAUGGGGGGACCAUCCUCCAAGGCUAAAUACUCCUGACUGACCGAUAGUGAACCAGUACCGUGAGGGAAAGGCGAAAAGAACCCCGGCGAGGGGAGUGAAAAAGAACCUGAAACCGUGUACGUACAAGCAGUGGGAGCCUCUUAAUGGGGUGACUGCGUACCUUUUGUAUAAUGGGUCAGCGACUUAUAUUCUGUAGCAAGGUUAACCGAAUAGGGGAGCCGAAGGGAAACCGAGUCUUAACUGGGCGUUAAGUUGCAGGGUAUAGACCCGAAACCCGGUGAUCUAGCCAUGGGCAGGUUGAAGGUUGGGUAACACUAACUGGAGGACCGAACCGACUAAUGUUGAAAAAUUAGCGGAUGACUUGUGGCUGGGGGUGAAAGGCCAAUCAAACCGGGAGAUAGCUGGUUCUCCCCGAAAGCUAUUUAGGUAGCGCCUCGUGAAUUCAUCUCCGGGGGUAG